GACGAACGCUGGCGGCGUGCCUAACACAUGCAAGUCGAGCGAGUGGAUUUCCUUCGGGAGUGAAGCUAGCGGCGGACGGGUGAGUAACACGUGGGCAACCUGCCUCAUAGAGGGGAAUAGCCUCCCGAAAGGGAGAUUAAUACCGCAUAAGAUUGUAGCUUCGCAUGAAGUAGCAAUUAAAGGAGCAAUCCGCUAUGAGAUGGGCCCGCGGCGCAUUAGCUAGUUGGUGAGGUAACGGCUCACCAAGGCGACGAUGCGUAGCCGACCUGAGAGGGUGAUCGGCCACAUUGGGACUGAGACACGGCCCAGACUCCUACGGGAGGCAGCAGUGGGGGAUAUUGCACAAUGGGGGAAACCCUGAUGCAGCAACGCCGCGUGAAGGAAGAAGGGUCUUCGGAUUGUAAACUUUGUCUUAUGGGAAGAAGAAAGUGACGGUACCAGUAGGAGGAAGCCAACGGCUAACUACGUG
This 469-nucleotide ribosomal RNA is filed under the name uncultured bacterium. Its description in RNAcentral is "bacterial SSU rRNA". It matches the Rfam family "Bacterial small subunit ribosomal RNA", at positions 28 to 507 of the family's 1533-position model. The record is from RNAcentral.